CCUACGGGAGACAGCAGUAGGGAAUCUUCCACAAUGGGCGAAAGCCUGAUGGAGCAACGCCGCGUGAGUGAAGAAGGUCUUCGGAUCGUAAAACCCUGUUGUUAGAGAAGAAAGUGCGUGAGAGUAACUGUUCACGUUUCGACGGUAUCUAACCAGAAAGCCACGGCUAACUACGUGCCAGCAGCCGCGGUAAUACGUAGGUGGCAAGCGUUAUCCGGAUUUAUUGGGCGUAAAGGGAACGCAGGCGGUCUUUUAAGUCUGAUGUGAAAGUCUUCGGCUUAACCGGAGUAGUGCAUUGGAAACUGGGAGACUUGAGUGCAGAGGAGGAGAGUGGAACUCCAGGUGUAGCGGUGAAAUGCGUAGAUAUAUGGAAGAACACCAGUGGCGAAAGCGGCUCUCUGGUCUGUAACUGACGCUGAGGUUCGAAAGUGUGGGUAGCAAACAGGAUUAGAUACCCUAGUAGUC
RNAcentral lists this ribosomal RNA (465 nucleotides) under uncultured bacterium. RNAcentral describes it as "partial 16S ribosomal RNA". It matches the Rfam family "Bacterial small subunit ribosomal RNA", at positions 338 to 795 of the family's 1533-position model. The record is from RNAcentral.